This 492-nucleotide long non-coding RNA is filed under the name Microcebus murinus (gray mouse lemur). RNAcentral describes it as "lncRNA (ENSMICG00000048348.1)". The record is from RNAcentral. Lineage: Eukaryota; Metazoa; Chordata; Mammalia; Primates; Cheirogaleidae.
UUGAAUUUAAAAUUUUCCUUCUCUUCUCCCCUCCCCCAAGCUUCUAUGAUAUGAAACAAGGAUUUUAAGCAUCGCUACAUUUAAAGAUUUUAGAAGAUAAUGCUUGAUGAUGCCUGUGAUAUGCAGCCUGGGACAAAACACAGAAUUAGAUGCCUAUGAAACAAACGGCACAAAAAACUCCAAUGAACCAUGGGCAUAUGUGCACCCACGUCUGCAGGCUUUCACUCUGUGCUGAGAAAGCAGACACCCAGAUCUGCGGGCAGCACACAGAGCAGCCCAAAUCCUCCCGAGGAUUCUGAGCCUGAGUCCUGUCAUUUCCAAGUUUAUUCUGCACCACCACCCGAGGCAGUACCAACAUGUAAAGGGUGAUCCUACAGAUUGGAGCCACCAUGCUGUUCCCGUGUCUGACAAGCCAAGGACAGGGCAAAGCUGUGGCAGAGGCUCCGGGAAGAAAGAGAAGGCCAGACUGCAAGGGGACCGGGGGAGGCGAUG